This 468-nucleotide ribosomal RNA is filed under the name uncultured bacterium. RNAcentral describes it as "partial 16S ribosomal RNA". It matches the Rfam family "Bacterial small subunit ribosomal RNA", at positions 28 to 507 of the family's 1533-position model. The record is from RNAcentral.
GACGAACGCUGGCGGCGUGCUUAACACAUGCAAGUCGAACGGAAGGGCCCUGCUUUUGUGGGGUGCUCGAGUGGCGAACGGGUGAGUAACACGUGAGUAACCUGCCCUUGACUUUGGGAUAACUUCAGGAAACUGGGGCUAAUACCGGAUAGGAGCUCCUGCUGCAUGGUGGGGGUUGGAAAGUUUCGGCGGUUGGGGAUGGACUCGCGGCUUAUCAGCUUGUUGGUGGGGUAGUGGCUUACCAAGGCUUUGACGGGUAGCCGGCCUGAGAGGGUGACCGGCCACAUUGGGACUGAGAUACGGCCCAGACUCCUACGGGAGGCAGCAGUGGGGAAUAUUGCACAAUGGGCGGAAGCCUGAUGCAGCAACGCCGCGUGCGGGAUGACGGCCUUCGGGUUGUAGACCGCUUUCGCCUGUGACGAAGCGUGAGUGACGGUAAUGGGUAAAGAAGCACCGGCUAACUACGUG